Dermochelys coriacea (leatherback sea turtle) is the source of this 144-nucleotide long non-coding RNA. RefSeq lists it as uncharacterized. The transcript is spliced from 3 exons. NCBI's taxonomy places the organism in Eukaryota, Metazoa, Chordata, Testudines, Dermochelyidae. The record is from RefSeq and is a predicted model, not a curated record.
CAACUGUAUCAUUGGGAGAAUCCAUCCUCAACGUACAGGAUUCUGAAGACUAUCCACCUUCAAGAGCAGCAUCAUUUUCUAUAGUUUCAGAGUUAUCUGUCAAUGAUAGCGUUUCAGUCAAAUCAUGUAUGUCAUAUAGCCACA